UGGGGAAUAUUGGACAAUGGGCGAAAGCCUGAUCCAGCAAUACCGCGUGAGUGAUGAAGGUCUUCGGAUUGUAAAGCUCUUUUAGUAGGGAAGAUAAUGACGGUACCUACAGAAAAAGCACCGGCAAACUUCGUGCCAGCAGCCGCGGUAAUACGAAGGGUGCUAGCGUUGUUCGGAAUCACUGGGCGUAAAGGGUACGUAGGCGGUUUGGUAAGUCGAUUGUGAAAGCCCCAGGCUCAACUUGGGAACUGCAAUCGAAACUGCCUUACUUGAGUUUGGUAGGGGAUGGUGGAAUUCCUAGUGUAGGGGUGAAAUCCGUAGAGAUUAGGAAGAACACCAGUGGCGAAGGCGACCAUCUAUGCCAAUACUGACGCUGAGGUACGAAAGCGUGGGGAGCAAACAGGAUUAGAUACCCUGGUAGUCCACGCCCUAAACGAUGAAUGCUAGUUGUCGGGGCCUUAGGCUUCGGCGGCGAAGUUAACACGAUAAGCAUUCCGCCUGGGGAGUACGGUCGCAAGACUA
Molecule: ribosomal RNA, 522 nt
Filed under: uncultured prokaryote
Description: bacterial SSU rRNA
Rfam family: Bacterial small subunit ribosomal RNA
Source: RNAcentral